This 791-nucleotide ribosomal RNA is filed under the name uncultured bacterium. RNAcentral describes it as "bacterial SSU rRNA". It matches the Rfam family "Bacterial small subunit ribosomal RNA", at positions 8 to 796 of the family's 1533-position model. The record is from RNAcentral.
AGAGUUUGAUCCUGGCUCAGAUUGAACGCUGGCGGCAUGCCUUACACAUGCAAGUCGAACGGCAGCACGGGGGCAACCCUGGUGGCGAGUGGCGAACGGGUGAGUAAUACAUCGGAACGUGUCCUGUAGUGGGGGAUAGCCCGGCGAAAGCCGGAUUAAUACCGCAUACGAUCUAGGGAUGAAAGCGGGGGACCUUCGGGCCUCGCGCUAUAGGGGCGGCCGAUGGCGGAUUAGCUAGUUGGUGGGGUAAAGGCCUACCAAGGCGACGAUCCGUAGCUGGUCUGAGAGGACGACCAGCCACACUGGGACUGAGACACGGCCCAGACUCCUACGGGAGGCAGCAGUGGGGAAUUUUGGACAAUGGGCGAAAGCCUGAUCCAGCAAUGCCGCGUGUGUGAAGAAGGCCUUCGGGUUGUAAAGCACUUUUGUCCGGAAAGAAAACGUUCCUACUAAUACUGGGGGCGGAUGACGGUACCGGAAGAAUAAGCACCGGCUAACUACGUGCCAGCAGCCGCGGUAAUACGUAGGGUGCAAGCGUUAAUCGGAAUUACUGGGCGUAAAGCGUGCGCAGGCGGUUUGUUAAGACGGAUGUGAAAUCCCCGGGCUCAACCUGGGAACUGCAUUCGUGACUGGCAGGCUAGAGUAUGGCAGAGGGGGGUGGAAUUCCACGUAGCAGUGAAAUGCGUAGAGAUGUGGAGGAACACCGAUGGCGAAGGCAGCCCCCUGGGCCAAUACUGACGCUCAUGCACGAAAGCGUGGGGAGCAAACAGGAUUAGAUACCCUAGUAGUCC